RNAcentral lists this unclassified non-coding RNA (237 nucleotides) under root metagenome. Its description in RNAcentral is "partial contains small subunit ribosomal RNA, internal transcribed spacer 1, and 5.8S ribosomal RNA". The record is from RNAcentral.
UUUCCGUAGGUGAACCUGCGGAAGGAUCAUUACAAAUCUCGUGCGGAGGAUGGGGUUGGCUUGUGCGGGUGCGUAUAUGGGUGCUUAACUGCGCACAUGAUGCAUACCGUGCGGCCGACCGCACCGCCCACACAUUGGCACAGGGCCGCAAGGUCCUGAUGUUUACGCUUGUAUGUUUGACAGAGUUAUGGUAGCAAGAAAAAAAGACAACUUUUAACAAUGGAUCUCUUGGCUCUU